Molecule: transfer RNA, 65 nt
Filed under: Mesopteryx alata
Lineage: Eukaryota; Metazoa; Arthropoda; Insecta; Mantodea; Mantidae
Description: tRNA-Cys
Source: RNAcentral
GGUCUUAUAUUCAAUUAUGAUAUUAGAAUGCAAUUCUAAUGGUGUAAAUUAUAAUACUAAGACUU